Molecule: long non-coding RNA, 565 nt
Filed under: Panax ginseng (ginseng)
Lineage: Eukaryota; Viridiplantae; Streptophyta; Magnoliopsida; Apiales; Araliaceae
Description: long non-coding RNA (PGIN_LNC019137)
Source: RNAcentral
UUAAAUACAAUUGUAUAAGAUAAAAUCAAAUAAUAUUUAAUAAUAAAAAAAUGAGUUAUUACAUUUUUCACCCCUUAAAAAUAAUUCCGUCCUCGGAAUUCAAAUAAGCUACAAAAAUAAUAAUUUAGUUACGACGUAGCGCCACCAUUUGUAACGAUCAAGCCUGGUAAGUCCAUAGGUCCACACAAUUAUCCAUGUACUCGUAAAAGAUUCGUCAGCUACCGUGUCAAGCCUUGGUAAGGUUCUUCGCGUUAAAUCACAUGAUCCACUGUUGGUGUGGGCCCCCCGUUAAUAUCUUUGAGUUUCAUUCUUGCAAGCGUACGUACUCUUCGGAACAUAAUUUGAAAUCACAAACAUUUUUCUUCAUCUAAAUACGAUUCAAAUAACCAAAAUAUUUAAAAUUAUUUUUAACUCGUUAAAAUGUUUAUAUUCCACACAUGACAAAGAUCUAAACAAAUUAUUUUUAUUUAAUUUUACAUAAAUUCAGGCAAAACUCUAAAGACAUCAGAUAACCAAAAUAACUAUGUAAACCAUAUUACCAACUCUCCCUAAGUCCUCAAGAGCU